UAACUACUUCCUCCGUCCUAAAAUUCUUGUCUUAGAUUUAUAUGAAUGUAUCUAGUCACAUUUUAGUAUUUAGAUACAUCCAUUUCUAAAUAAACUUAAGACAAGAAUUUUGGGACGGAGGGAGUAUCAU
RNAcentral lists this microRNA precursor (130 nucleotides) under Hordeum vulgare. RNAcentral's name for it is "microRNA MIR1122". It matches the Rfam family "MIR1120/MIR1122 microRNA precursor family". Lineage: Eukaryota; Viridiplantae; Streptophyta; Magnoliopsida; Poales; Poaceae. The record is from RNAcentral.